UGUAACUUAUUGUAUGUACUUUACGAAUAAGGAUCGGCUAACUCCGUGCCAGCAGCCGCGGUAAUACGGAGGAUCCAAGCGUUAUCCGGAUUUAUUGGGUUUAAAGGGUGCGUAGGCGGGCCCUUAAGUCAGUGGUGAAAGUUUGCAGCUUAACUGUAAAAUUGCCAUUGAAACUGAGGGUCUUGAGUGUAAAUAAGGUAGGCGGAAUGUGUUGUGUAGCGGUGAAAUGCUUAGAUAUAACACAGAACACCAAUUGCGAAGGCAGCUUACUGGGAUACAACUGACGCUGAGGCACGAAAGCGUGGGGAUCAAACAGGAUUAGAUACCCUGGUAGUCCACGCAGUAAACGAUGAAUACUAGCUGUAUGCGAUAUACUGUAUGUGGCACAGCGAAAGCGUUAAGUAUUCCACCUGGGGAGUACGUUCGCAAGAAUGAAACUCAAAGGAAUUGACGGGGGCCCGCACAAGCGGAGGAACAUGUGGUUUAAUUCGAUGAUACGCGAGGAACCUUACCCGGGCUUGAAAUGCAGACGACCGAUCAGGAAACUGAUCUUCCAGCAAUGGCGUCUGUGUAGGUGCUGCAUGGUUGUCGUCAGCUCGUGCCGUGAGGUGUCGGCUUAAGUGCCAUAACGAGCGCAACCCCUAUCAUUAGUUACUAACAGGUUAAGCUGAGGACUCUAGUGAGACUGCCACCGUAAGGUGUGAGGAAGGUGGGGAUGACGUCAAAUCAGCACGGCCCUUACGUCCGGGGCGACACACGUGUUACAAUGGGGGGUACAGAGGGUUGCUACUUGGUGACAAGAUGCUAAUCUCUUAAAGCCUCUCUCAGUUCGGAUCGGAGUCUGCAACUCGACUCCGUGAAGCUGGAUUCGCUAGUAAUCGCGCAUCAGCCAUGGCGCGGUGAAUACGUUCCCGGGCCUUGUACACACCGCCCGU
RNAcentral lists this ribosomal RNA (935 nucleotides) under uncultured bacterium. RNAcentral describes it as "bacterial SSU rRNA". It matches the Rfam family "Bacterial small subunit ribosomal RNA", at positions 460 to 1397 of the family's 1533-position model. The record is from RNAcentral.